UACGUAGGGACCAAGCGUUGUUCGGAUUUACUGGGCGUAAAGGGCGCGUAGGCGGCAAUUCAAGUCAGCUGUGAAAUCUCCGGGCUUAACUCGGAACGGUCAGCUGAUACUGCUUUGCUAGAGUGCAGAAGGGGCAAUCGGAAUUCUUGGUGUAGCGGUGAAAUGCGUAGAUAUCUGGAGGAACACCGGUGGCGAAGGCGGCAUCCUGGACCAACACUGACACUGAGGAGCGAAAGCCAGGGGAGCAAACGGG
RNAcentral lists this ribosomal RNA (253 nucleotides) under uncultured prokaryote. RNAcentral describes it as "partial 16S ribosomal RNA". It matches the Rfam family "Bacterial small subunit ribosomal RNA", at positions 524 to 776 of the family's 1533-position model. The record is from RNAcentral.